Callithrix jacchus (white-tufted-ear marmoset) is the source of this 70-nucleotide non-coding RNA. NCBI's taxonomy places the organism in Eukaryota, Metazoa, Chordata, Mammalia, Primates, Cebidae. The record is from Rfam.
UUUGCUUUAAUGAAGACUACACAGAAAACCUUUCUAAGGAUUUGUGUGGAUCAGAUAAAUAGUUGGCAAA